CAGCCGCCGCGGUAAUACGUAGGUCCCGAGCGCUGUCCGGAUUUAUUGGGCGUAAAGCGAGCGCAGGCGGUUAGAUAAGUCUGAAGUUAAAGGCUGUGGCUUAACCAUAGUACGCUUUGGAAACUGUUUAACUUGAGUGCAAGAGGGGAGAGUGGAAUUCCAUGUGUAGCGGUGAAAUGCGUAGAUAUAUGGAGGAACACCGGUGGCGAAAGCGGCUCUCUGGCUUGUAACUGACGCUGAGGCUCGAAAGCGUGGGGAGCAAACAGGAUUAGAUACCUGUGUAGUCCCUGUCUCUUAUACA
RNAcentral lists this ribosomal RNA (301 nucleotides) under uncultured bacterium. RNAcentral describes it as "partial 16S ribosomal RNA". It matches the Rfam family "Bacterial small subunit ribosomal RNA", at positions 509 to 808 of the family's 1533-position model. The record is from RNAcentral.